Molecule: non-coding RNA, 329 nt
Organism: Pelobates cultripes (western spadefoot toad)
Lineage: Eukaryota; Metazoa; Chordata; Amphibia; Anura; Pelobatidae
Source: the annotation of a GenBank genome assembly
CAGAAGGCCAAGAAAAACAGACAGACAUAUUUGGACAAGUUUGUGAACUGUAAAGGUGGCGUAAGUGACUCCCUGGAUUCAUCACUCUAGGGUUAAACCAAUGGCAGAUUCUUGGCAAGCUAUCCCAGAUCCUGAAAAUCCUUGUAAGAUCCAGUUGAAGCAAACUACCCAGUCCCUGAAGCUUGAUUAAAGUGACAUAAGGAAGAGUAUGAGACGAUUAAAAAAAAAACGUGGAUGAGAAAGAUAUCAGAGAGCAGCAAGUAGGUGUUUUGAAAGCCAUAAUAAAGCCUGACCACCUACAAACGUUUCAUAGCCAGAGUGUCUCGAAG